Molecule: long non-coding RNA, 2716 nt
Organism: Mytilus californianus (California mussel)
Lineage: Eukaryota; Metazoa; Mollusca; Bivalvia; Mytilida; Mytilidae
Exons: 4
Source: RefSeq, a predicted model, not a curated record
AUUUGAUCUAUGCCGAAUAAAAAUACAAUAUUAAUAAAAUAAAGGGGGAGAAGAUGUAAAACAAUAUUAGAAAGACAACUAUAACCUUGGACAAAAUAUAAAAUAAAAUAACGUACACAGCUAAAUAUAAUAAUUUUGUAGUAAGGAGUACAUGGAGUACGGAAAUAUCAUUUUACAAAAAAAAAUAAUUUGUUGUUCAUAGUACGAGAACAGAAUUAAAAAUUUAUCGUGAUACUAAAUACUUAAGGUAAAUACUCAAAGGUGAGACACAAAAUAAGUAAACAUUGAAUAACAAACAUGCAUUACAAAUUGUGUCAACAGAUCAAAUUAACAGGAAAGUAGGAUUUGAGAGUACUCGCAAUUCCUGAAAGCUAGUUAAAAGCCAAAACAAUUAAUAAUAAAAACCCAUGCAUCAGAGACUAAAAUCAACUAAAACACAUCCCAGCGAUUAAGUCUUUUAAUGACAUGACUUGUGCAAUGCCAAAAUUAAAGUAUCGACUGGCAGUAGUAUGGUUAGGAUUUCACCUUAUAAUAAAUGUGUAUGAUUUUAUGUAAUCUCUAUAUAGAAAAUGAACGUGGAUGUGUAUUUAUACAUCCGAAAAAAAAAACAUUUGAAAAGAAUACAAAUUUAGUUAUGUUUUAAUUUGUUGAUGACAAAAUUGAUAUUUGUGCCAAUGUUAACAAUAUUCAAAGAUAUUAUUACAACAUUUAUAAAAUAACCUUUACUAAUGAGUUUGUUAAAAGGUUCGAUGAGUUAUAUGUGUCCAUUUCAUGGUUCCAGUUCCAGAACACCUCAUUUCACUCUUGAAUGUAAGAAAUAAAGAGAGAGACAAAAUAUUAAAGGGACAAUCAAAUAUAAUACGUCAAAGAAAAAUGAACAACACCAUGACAAAAAAGAAAAUGGACAAACAGACUUAAAAACAAGAAAGACACCACAACUAGAUAUAAAGAAGAAAACAAGAGUCAAAAAGGAGAAGUCAUGACCCACCUGCACCAGGAACGCCCGAUGUCAAAAACAUGAAUGCGAGAUACAUAAAUACCCUCUCACGUCAACAUUCAUACGACCAAAAGAUAAAUAAUAGCAUGAAGACAAAUAUUUUUAAUUCAAUCAUUAUUAUGUGUAUUAACAUAUUCAUUUAGCGAAGAUUUUAUGUAAAUUUAGUGAUAUACCUUUAUCAUCAAAUGAAUAUAGCACUCUAACUAAAACAGCUUUGUUGGCUUAAAUUGUGUCAAAAGGAAAAUAAUGUUUUAAUUGUUUAUGGAAAUUAAAUUUCAAAUGCUUUUUUUAGUGUACGACACUGUUACAGAUACUCCAGUGACUGAGUCCUCAGGAAAUCAAUCUGUAGCUGGUGUAGUCGCUGGGUUAGUUAUUGCCUUGAUCGUGAUUGUUUUUAUUGCGUAUUUUGGAUGGAAGAAAUACAGGAUAUACAUUUAUAAAGUAAGAAGGGAGGAAAAAUUGCAGAAAUUAAGCGAAAUGCAGAAAAGAGAGGAAAGAACAAGCUGGUCGAGUUUGCAUUAUCAAGUAGACAACUUGAGAAAUUGAACUGUAAUUGCUAUAUUUGUUUUAGAUGCUUUGUGUGCCCAUAAAGUAAUAGAACAACAAAAUAUAAUUCAAACAUAUAAAACUUUCCUUAAUGAAAAAAUAAAUAAAAACAAAAGUUAUUAUAGAAUUUUAAGAUUAAAAAAAAAGUAAAUAUAAUUUAUCUAAUUUUAAUCUAAAAGUUUCCAUUUAAAAUACAUUUUGAUUUGAUAAAAAGCAAUAUAGAUGAAAAGGAAAAAAAGGCUUUUCUUUUCUAUCAAACAAUUUUGUAUAGCAGAAUAUAUAAAAUAUAUGUAGUGUGGUUAAUCUGGUGGUUAAAUUAACUUAACCAGCAUACCAUCUGUGUUAAUUUGAUAAUAUGAGUAGACACCAACUGUUCAGGGUCAAGUUCAAAAUUCUUCAUUUGAUCUUUAGCAAAUUGAGUGUACAGGGGGACAAUAAACUAACAUUAGAUGCACAAAUAAUGACAAAAUACAAAAGAAAUACAUACAAAUCGUGCAUAUGAUAUCAUGCUUCAACAAUAUAUUUAAGUUUUUUAAAAACACAAUCUGAUACAUGUUUUUUUCUAAAAAAUACUUCGAGAUCUUUUUUCAGGAACAAAGACAAAUUUUUUUAUAGUCGAACAUGACAUAAUAUUCAUUUUUAUCUCACUUGAAUUUGUACUGUAGAAACUAGGUACCUAUUUUUCUAAGUUGUUAAAAUGGUGGAAAUAUACAUGGAGAUAAAUAGUGAGAUUCAUUCCAAAUUCCGUUUUUGUAAAGGUAACAAAAUGUAUUCUCCUUAGGUAUCCCGGUCCAUCUUCCAGUUUCUAUAGUACUUGCACAUCUCAAUUAAGUAAUAAAUACCCUUUUUAUGGUCCUCAAGAUUCAUUAAUAUUUUUCAAAUUCAAACUUUGUGUUUGAAUAGAGAACAUAAUUCUCCCCUUGCAGAAUUUUGAAUAUGCGAUACCAAAUGUUGAAUGAAUUGUUCGGUCAGUUUUUGUCUUACAGAUCAUUAGUGUGGUUUUUAUCCAUAUGUACCUGAUAACUCAAAACAAACCUUAAUCCACAUUCGUCCAAAAUAGAUUUUAUGUAUGAAAUCCAUACGAACUUUUGAGGAUUUGUUUUAUGUAAUUCAAACAAUAAUUUGUACAUAAUUGUUGACAACUUGUGAUCAUUUACCAAUACAUUAUUCCAA